GCCAGUGUAUUGUAGUGGGUUGAGUGUUGGACUAUGACUCUGGAACCAGGGUUCAAAUCCCAGCUUGGACA
Molecule: non-coding RNA, 71 nt
Organism: Phrynosoma platyrhinos (Desert horned lizard)
Lineage: Eukaryota; Metazoa; Chordata; Lepidosauria; Squamata; Phrynosomatidae
Source: the annotation of a GenBank genome assembly